RNAcentral lists this ribosomal RNA (465 nucleotides) under uncultured bacterium. RNAcentral's name for it is "bacterial SSU rRNA". It matches the Rfam family "Bacterial small subunit ribosomal RNA", at positions 27 to 507 of the family's 1533-position model. The record is from RNAcentral.
GGACGAACGCUGGCGGCGUGCCUAACACAUGCAAGUCGAACGGAGUUGUUCCUUCGGGGACAACUUAGUGGCGAACGGGUGAGUAACGCGUGAGAAACCUGCCUUUCAGUGGGGGACAACAGUUGGAAACGACUGCUAAUACCGCAUAAUGUUAUUUGGGGGCAUCCCUGAAUAACCAAAGCUUUAUGUGCUGAAAGAUGGUCUCGCGUCUGAUUAGCUAGUUGGUGAGGUAACGGCUCACCAAGGCGACGAUCAGUAGCCGGUCUGAGAGGAUGAACGGCCACAUUGGGACUGAGAUACGGCCCAGACUCCUACGGGAGGCAGCAGUGGGGAAUAUUGGGCAAUGGGCGAAAGCCUGACCCAGCAACGCCGCGUGAAGGAAGAAGGCCUUCGGGUUGUAAACUUCUUUUACCAGGGACGAAGAACGUGACGGUACCUGGAGAAAAAGCAACGGCUAACUACGUG